GUCUACGGCCAUACCACCCUGAACAUGCCUGAUCCCGUCUAAUCUCAGAAGCUAAACAGAGUUGGGCCCGGUUAGUACUUGGAUGGGAGACCACCUAGGAAGACCAGGUGCUGCAGGCG
RNAcentral lists this ribosomal RNA (119 nucleotides) under Pteropus alecto (black flying fox). Lineage: Eukaryota; Metazoa; Chordata; Mammalia; Chiroptera; Pteropodidae. The record is from RNAcentral.